RNAcentral lists this unclassified non-coding RNA (390 nucleotides) under uncultured Cladophialophora. RNAcentral describes it as "sequence contains ITS2". The stretch from base 1 to 155 matches the Rfam family "5.8S ribosomal RNA". The record is from RNAcentral. Lineage: Eukaryota; Fungi; Ascomycota; Eurotiomycetes; Chaetothyriales; Herpotrichiellaceae.
AACUUUUAGCAACGGAUCACUUGGUUCUGGCAUCGAUGAAGAACGCAGCGAAAUGCGAUAAGUAAUGCGAAUUGCAGAAUUCCAGUUAGUCAUCGAAUCUUUGAACGCACAUUGCGCCGUUUGGUUUUCCGAAGGGCAUGCCUGUUCUAGCGUCAUUAUCACCCCUCAAGCCCCGCGCUUGGUGUUGGACGGCCGUUCGAGCGAUCGACCCCUCCUAAAGACAAUGACGGCGGCCUGCGGUUCCCCCGGUACACUGAGCUUUUAACCGAGCACGUAUCGGACCAGGGCACCCGGGACCCGGUCCUCUCCUUUAACUAGGAAACUUCUAAGGUUGACCUCGGAUCAGGUAGGAAUACGCGCUGAACUUAAGCAUAUCAAUAAGCGGAGGGU